CCUACGGGCGGCAGCAGUGGGGAAUAUUGGGCAAUGGGCGCAAGCCUGACCCAGCAACGCCGCGUGAAGGAAGAAGGCUUUCGGGUUGUAAACUUCUUUUAAGAGGGAAGAGCAGAAGACGGUACCUCUUGAAUAAGCCACGGCUAACUACGUGCCAGCAGCCGCGGUAAUACGUAGGUGGCAAGCGUUGUCCGGAUUUACUGGGUGUAAAGGGCGUGCAGCCGGGAAGACAAGUCAGAUGUGAAAUCCCAAGGCUCAACCAUGGGACUGCUUUGGAAACUGUAAAACUGGAGUGCAGGAGAGGUAAGCGGAAUUCCUAGUGUAGCGGUGAAAUGCGUAGAUAUUAGGAGGAACACCAGUGGCGAAGGCGGCUUACUGGACUGUAACUGACGUUGAGGCUCGAAGGCGUGGGGAGCAAACAGGAUUAGAUACCCUAGUAGUC
RNAcentral lists this ribosomal RNA (442 nucleotides) under uncultured bacterium. Its description in RNAcentral is "partial 16S ribosomal RNA". It matches the Rfam family "Bacterial small subunit ribosomal RNA", at positions 338 to 795 of the family's 1533-position model. The record is from RNAcentral.